GCCUUGUUGACUGCAGACACACGUAGGCGGUACGUCUGACCAGCCUGCAGCCUGGAUAUCUAAUAACAACAUUUAAACGUUUAAAUCUCACAUUUAUCUUCAGGUUCAGGCAUCGUCCACCGCUCACAGAGAAAAGCCUCGCUGGGUCCAGACGGUUUACUGAUUCCAAUGAUGUUGGAUGCAAAGACACGGAACUGGUAAUAGUGGCCCUCUAGAAGACCAGACACCUGUGAAAAAGACAGAGAAGAAAGAGCUGAAAUAGUGGAUGAAGUCUGAUUCAAAGUCAAGACAACUCAAGGCUUUACGUUGACCUCCUUCCAGACACUCUGAGAUUUCUCCCGCUGGUCCAGGUAGUAGCCCUGCACCGGGACGCCACCGUGACUGGCAGGGGCUCUCCAACCAAUCACCAGCUCACUGCCAGAGCAACAGAGCAGAGAUACACCAGAGGGAGCAGAUGGAACCACUGUGGGGGAGGAGGGGGACAGCAUUAUUAGAAUAAAGUUUCGGGGAUUUGGAGACCCCUCUGGUGGAAACGUGUAAGUGCGGAAGAACAAUUACCAAGAGGAUGAUUCAAAGAGAAUUCAGUCAAAACGAAGGGCGCAUAUUCUGAGCAUGUGAGUUAAUUAUGUGCUAUUGUCAUCAUAUCUUCAUCAGUGUAAUGUUGAUUCUGAGAUCAUUUGAGGCCUAAACAUCGAGCUGGACCUUCUUUUUGAGCCUGUUUGUGUCACGUUAAUAUGUACGAUGUGGUGUGAAAAACUCCCGCCAAAUCCAUCCCAAUGCCUGUGACUUUUAGAUCAUUAUUUCAGGCUUUACAGGGCGACUUGCAGCAAUGCAUUUUAUUCAUUUUUUAGAUUCAAUCAUUUUUCAUAUGAUUUUAAAUUUAAUGUUUAAUAUCUUCUCUUCCAAUCAUUGUUUCAAUCAUGUUUCAUACAUACAUACAUCAUCUAAACCGCUUAUCCUUCUGGGUCGCGGUGGGGUGCUGGAGCCUAUCCCAGCUGUCAUUGGGCGGAAGGCAGGAUAUACCCUGGACAGGUCGCCAGUCCAUCG
Long non-coding RNA from Colossoma macropomum (tambaqui), 1047 nucleotides. RefSeq lists it as uncharacterized. The transcript is spliced from 4 exons. The record is from RefSeq and is a predicted model, not a curated record. Lineage: Eukaryota; Metazoa; Chordata; Actinopteri; Characiformes; Serrasalmidae.